Molecule: ribosomal RNA, 3134 nt
Filed under: Proteus vulgaris
Lineage: Bacteria; Pseudomonadati; Pseudomonadota; Gammaproteobacteria; Enterobacterales; Morganellaceae
Description: 23S ribosomal RNA
Rfam family: Bacterial large subunit ribosomal RNA
Source: RNAcentral
GGGUUGUGAGGUUAAGCGAAUAAGCGUACACGGUGGAUGCCUAGGCAAUCAGAGGCGAUGAAGGACGUGCUAAUCUGCGAUAAGCGUCGGUAAGGUGAUAUGAACCGUUAUACCCGACGAUUUCCGAAUGGGGAAACCCAAUAUCCAAUGGAUAUUAUCAUUAACUGAAUACAUAGGUUAAUGAAGCGAACCGGGAGAACUGAAACAUCUCAGUACCCCGAGGAAAAGAAAUCAACCGAGAUUCCCCUAGUAGCGGCGAGCGAACGGGGAACAGCCCAGAGUCUUAAUCAAUAGCAGCAUCAGGAGAACGGUCUGGAAAGUCCGGCAGUAAAGGGUGAUAGCCCCGUAUCCGAAGAUGCUGUUAUUGUGAACUCGACGAGUAGGGCGGGACACGUGUUAUCCUGUCUGAAUAUGGGGGGACCAUCCUCCAAGGCUAAAUACUCCUGAUUGACCGAUAGUGAACCAGUACCGUGAGGGAAAGGCGAAAAGAACCCCGGCGAGGGGAGUGAAAAAGAACCUGAAACCGUGUACGUACAAGCAGUAGGAGCCCCACCACUAAGCUAGUGGUGAACUCACAGCGAUUCUUUUGCAUGAUAAAGAGCGGUAGACGACGCGAAGUGACGUCCAACCAAUCCAAUCAGGCAGAGGAGGCUUAGUGGUGGGGUGACUGCGUACCUUUUGUAUAAUGGGUCAGCGACUUAUAUUCUGUAGCAAGGUUAACCGAAUAGGGGAGCCGUAGGGAAACCGAGUCUUAACUGGGCGAAUGAGUUGCAGGGUAUAGACCCGAAACCCGGUGAUCUAUCCAUGGGCAGGUUGAAGGUUGGGUAACACUAACUGGAGGACCGAACCGACUAAUGUUGAAAAAUUAGCGGAUGACUUGUGGAUGGGGGUGAAAGGCCAAUCAAACCGGGAGAUAGCUGGUUCUCCCCGAAAGCUAUUUAGGUAGCGCCUCGUGAACUCAUCUUCGGGGGUAGAGCACUGUUUCGACUAGGGGGUCAUCCCGACUUACCAACUCGAUGCAAACUGCGAAUACCGAAGAAUGUUAUCACGGGAGACACACGGCGGGUGCUAACGUCCGUCGUGAAGAGGGAAACAACCCAGACCGCCAGCUAAGGUCCCAAAGUCAUGGUUAAGUGGGAAACGAAGUGGGAAGGCUCAGACAGCCAGGAUGUUGGCUUAGAAGCAGCCAUCAUUUAAAGAAAGCGUAAUAGCUCACUGGUCGAGUCGGCCCGCGCGGAAGAUGUAACGGGGCUAAACCAUGCACCGAAGCUGCGGCAGCGAACGUAUCACUUAAAUUUGUUUAAGUGAGAAACGAUUGACGGAACGAAGAGACGUCAAUGCGUCCAUAAAAGUCGAGGCGAAAGUCCGAUAAGCGAAUUUAAGGAUACGUUCGUUGGGUAGGGGAGCGUUCUGUAAGCCUGCGAAGGUGUACUGUGAGGUAUGCUGGAGGUAUCAGAAGUGCGAAUGCUGACAUAAGUAACGAUAAUGCGGGUGAAAAACCCGCACGCCGGAAGACCAAGGGUUCCUGUCCAACGUUAAUCGGGGCAGGGUGAGUCGACCCCUAAGGCGAGGCUGAAAAGCGUAGUCGAUGGGAAACGGGUUAAUAUUCCCGUACUGGUGGUAACUGCGAUGGGGGAACGGAGAAGGCUAGGUUGUCCGGGCGACGGUCGUCCCGGUUCAAGCAUGUAGGCAGAGUGAUUAGGCAAAUCCGGUCACUUAAUGCUGAGGUGUGAUGACGAGCCACUAAGGUGGUGAAGCAAUUGAUGCCCUGCUUCCAGGAAAAGCCUCUAAGCUUCAGGUUACCAACAAUCGUACCCCAAACCGACACAGGUGGUCAGGUAGAGAAUACUCAGGCGCUUGAGAGAACUCGGGUGAAGGAACUAGGCAAAAUGGUGCCGUAACUUCGGGAGAAGGCACGCUGGCGGUAAGUGAAGUCCCUUGCGGACGGAGCCGAAGCCAGUCGAAGAUACCAGCUGGCUGCAACUGUUUAUUAAAAACACAGCACUGUGCAAACACGAAAGUGGACGUAUACGGUGUGACGCCUGCCCGGUGCUGGAAGGUUAAUUGAUGGGGUUAUCCUUAGGGAGAAGCUCUUGAUCGAAGCCCCAGUAAACGGCGGCCGUAACUAUAACGGUCCUAAGGUAGCGAAAUUCCUUGUCGGGUAAGUUCCGACCUGCACGAAUGGCGUAAUGAUGGCCAGGCUGUCUCCACCCGAGACUCAGUGAAAUUGAACUCGCUGUGAAGAUGCAGUGUACCCGCGGCAAGACGGAAAGACCCCGUGAACCUUUACUAUAGCUUGACACUGAACAUUGAGCCUUGAUGUGUAGGAUAGGUGGGAGACUAUGAAAUGUGGACGCCAGUCUGCAUGGAGUCAACCUUGAAAUACCACCCUUUAACGUUUGAUGUUCUAACCUAGGCCCGUGAUCCGGGUCGGGGACCGUGUCUGGUGGGUAGUUUGACUGGGGCGGUCUCCUCCUAAAGAGUAACGGAGGAGCACGAAGGUUGGCUAAGCAUGGUCGGACAUCAUGCGGUUAGUGCAAAGGCAUAAGCCAGCUUGACUGUGAGAGUGACGGCUCGAGCAGGUACGAAAGUAGGUCUUAGUGAUCCGGUGGUUCUGAAUGGAAGGGCCAUCGCUCAACGGAUAAAAGGUACUCCGGGGAUAACAGGCUGAUACCGCCCAAGAGUUCAUAUCGACGGCGGUGUUUGGCACCUCGAUGUCGGCUCAUCACAUCCUGGGGCUGAAGUAGGUCCCAAGGGUAUGGCUGUUCGCCAUUUAAAGUGGUACGCGAGCUGGGUUUAGAACGUCGUGAGACAGUUCGGUCCCUAUCUGCCGUGGGCGUUGGAAGAUUGAGAGGGGUUGCUCCUAGUACGAGAGGACCGGAGUGAACGCACCACUGGUGUUCGGGUUGUCAUGCCAAUGGCAUUGCCCGGUAGCUAAGUGCGGAAGAGAUAACCGCUGAAAGCAUCUAAGCGGGAAACUUGCCUCGAGAUGAGUCUUCCCUGUCACCUUGAGUGACCUAAAGGAACGUUUAAGACUAAGACGUUGAUAGGCUGGGUGUGUAAGCGUAGCGAUACGUUGAGCUAACCAGUACUAAUGAACCGUGAGGCUUAACCUGACAACACCGAAGGUGUUU